Molecule: non-coding RNA, 212 nt
Organism: Pelobates cultripes (western spadefoot toad)
Lineage: Eukaryota; Metazoa; Chordata; Amphibia; Anura; Pelobatidae
Source: the annotation of a GenBank genome assembly
GCACACUAAAGCACAUACACACACGUCGUGAGGGUGCUGUGUGUGUGGGCGCUGUGUGUGUUUAAGGGUGCUGUGUGUGUGUGUUUGUGAGGGUGGUGUGUGUGUGUGUGUGUUUGUGUAAGGGUACUGCAUGUGUGUAAGGGUGCUGUGUGUGUAAUGGCGGUAAGUGUUUGUGAGGGUGGUGUGUGUGUUUGUGACAGUGGUAUGUGUGC